CAGUCGCCGCGGGAAAACGUAGGUGGCAAGCGUUGUCCGGAAUUAUUGGGCGUAAAGGGCUCGCAGGCGGUUUCUUAAGUCUGAUGUGAAAGCCCCCGGCUCAACCGGGGAGGGUCAUUGGAAACUGGGAAACUUGAGUGCAGAAGAGGAGAGUGGAAUUCCACGUGUAGCGGUGAAAUGCGUAGAGAUGUGGAGGAACACCAGUGGCGAAGGCGACUCUCUGGUCUGUAGCUGACGCUGAGGAGCGAAAGCGUGGGGAGCGAACAGGAUUAGAUACCCCGGUAGUCCCUGUCUCUUAUAC
Molecule: ribosomal RNA, 301 nt
Filed under: uncultured bacterium
Lineage: Bacteria
Description: partial 16S ribosomal RNA
Rfam family: Bacterial small subunit ribosomal RNA
Source: RNAcentral